This 278-nucleotide ribosomal RNA is filed under the name uncultured bacterium. Its description in RNAcentral is "partial 16S ribosomal RNA". It matches the Rfam family "Bacterial small subunit ribosomal RNA", at positions 29 to 334 of the family's 1533-position model. The record is from RNAcentral.
AACGAACGCUGGCGGCAGGCCUAACACAUGCAAGUCGAACGGACUCUUCGGAGUUAGUGGCGCACGGGUGAGGAACACGUGGGAACAUACCCUUUGGUAGGGAAUAAUGUCUGGAAACGGACACUAAUACCCUAUAAUGACUUCGGUCCAAAGAUUUAUCGCCAAAGGAUUGGCCCGCGCAUGAUUAGAUAGUUGGUGAGGUAAUGGCUCACCAAGUCUACGAUCAUUAGCUGGUCUGAGAGGAUGAUCAGCCACACUGGAACUGAGACACGGUCCAG